CCUACGGGUGACAGCAGUGAGGAAUAUUGGUCAAUGGUCGGGAGACUGAACCAGCCAAGCCGCGUGAAGGAGGAAGGUACAGAGUAUCGUAAACCUCUUUUGUCAGGGAACAAAGGCGGGGACGUGUCCCCGGAUGAGUGUACCUGAAGAAAAAGCAUCGGCUAACUCCGUGCCAGCAGCCGCGGUAAUACGGAGGAUGCGAGCGUUAUCCGGAUUUAUUGGGUUUAAAGGGUGCGCAGGCGGUUGGUUAAGUCAGCGGUAAAAGCCGGGGGCUCAACCCCGGCCCGCCGUUGAAACUGGCAGUCUCGAGUUGGAGAGAAGUAUGCGGAAUGCGCGGUGUAGCGGUGAAAUGCAUAGAUAUCGCGAAGAACUCCGAUUGCGAAGGCAGCAUGCCGGCUCCACACUGACGCUGAGGCACGAAAGCGUGGGUAUCGAACAGGAUUAGAUACCCUUGUAGUC
Molecule: ribosomal RNA, 459 nt
Filed under: uncultured bacterium
Lineage: Bacteria
Description: partial 16S ribosomal RNA
Rfam family: Bacterial small subunit ribosomal RNA
Source: RNAcentral